Non-coding RNA from Pelobates cultripes (western spadefoot toad), 254 nucleotides. NCBI's taxonomy places the organism in Eukaryota, Metazoa, Chordata, Amphibia, Anura, Pelobatidae. The record is from the annotation of a GenBank genome assembly.
AUCUCUACCACCACCGGGAAACAGAAAGCCUUCUCUACCUGCAGCUCCCACCUGACCAUCGUAUGUCUAUAUUACGGGACAAUAGUAUUUAAUUAUGUGGUCCCACCAAAAGAAGAAUAUUUGGGUUUGCAAAAACUGAUUUCUGUGCUUUAUACUAUAGCAGCCCCUUUAUUAAACCCCAUUAUAUACAGUCUGAGAAAUGAGCAGUUUAAAGAAGCAAUAAUUCAAUUUAUUUUGAAGAGAAAAAGUGAAAA